Molecule: ribosomal RNA, 1541 nt
Filed under: Pectobacterium brasiliense
Lineage: Bacteria; Pseudomonadati; Pseudomonadota; Gammaproteobacteria; Enterobacterales; Pectobacteriaceae
Description: bacterial SSU rRNA
Rfam family: Bacterial small subunit ribosomal RNA
Source: RNAcentral
AAAUUGAAGAGUUUGAUCAUGGCUCAGAUUGAACGCUGGCGGCAGGCCUAACACAUGCAAGUCGAGCGGUAGCACAGAGGAGCUUGCUCCUUGGGUGACGAGCGGCGGACGGGUGAGUAAUGUCUGGGAAACUGCCUGAUGGAGGGGGAUAACUACUGGAAACGGUAGCUAAUACCGCAUAACCUCGCAAGAGCAAAGAGGGGGACCUUCGGGCCUCUCGCCAUCAGAUGUGCCCAGAUGGGAUUAGCUAGUAGGUGAGGUAAUGGCUCACCUAGGCGACGAUCCUAGCUGGUCUGAGAGGAUGACCAGCCACACUGGAACUGAGACACGGUCCAGACUCCUACGGGAGGCAGCAGUGGGGAAUAUUGCACAAUGGGCGCAAGCCUGAUGCAGCCAUGCCGCGUGUGUGAAGAAGGCCUUCGGGUUGUAAAGCACUUUCAGCGGGGAGGAAGGCGGUAAGGUUAAUAACCUUGUCGAUUGACGUUACCCGCAGAAGAAGCACCGGCUAACUCCGUGCCAGCAGCCGCGGUAAUACGGAGGGUGCAAGCGUUAAUCGGAAUGACUGGGCGUAAAGCGCACGCAGGCGGUCUGUUAAGUUGGAUGUGAAAUCCCCGGGCUUAACCUGGGAACUGCAUUCAAAACUGACAGGCUAGAGUCUUGUAGAGGGGGGUAGAAUUCCAGGUGUAGCGGUGAAAUGCGUAGAGAUCUGGAGGAAUACCGGUGGCGAAGGCGGCCCCCUGGACAAAGACUGACGCUCAGGUGCGAAAGCGUGGGGAGCAAACAGGAUUAGAUACCCUGGUAGUCCACGCUGUAAACGAUGUCGAUUUGGAGGUUGUGCCCUUGAGGCGUGGCUUCCGGAGCUAACGCGUUAAAUCGACCGCCUGGGGAGUACGGCCGCAAGGUUAAAACUCAAAUGAAUUGACGGGGGCCCGCACAAGCGGUGGAGCAUGUGGUUUAAUUCGAUGCAACGCGAAGAACCUUACCUACUCUUGACAUCCAGAGAACUUAGCAGAGAUGCUUUGGUGCCUUCGGGAACUCUGAGACAGGUGCUGCAUGGCUGUCGUCAGCUCGUGUUGUGAAAUGUUGGGUUAAGUCCCGCAACGAGCGCAACCCUUAUCCUUUGUUGCCAGCGAUUCGGUCGGGAACUCAAAGGAGACUGCCGGUGAUAAACCGGAGGAAGGUGGGGAUGACGUCAAGUCAUCAUGGCCCUUACGAGUAGGGCUACACACGUGCUACAAUGGCGUAUACAAAGAGAAGCGACCUCGCGAGAGCAAGCGGACCUCAUAAAGUACGUCGUAGUCCGGAUUGGAGUCUGCAACUCGACUCCAUGAAGUCGGAAUCGCUAGUAAUCGUAGAUCAGAAUGCUACGGUGAAUACGUUCCCGGGCCUUGUACACACCGCCCGUCACACCAUGGGAGUGGGUUGCAAAAGAAGUAGGUAGCUUAACCUUCGGGAGGGCGCUUACCACUUUGUGAUUCAUGACUGGGGUGAAGUCGUAACAAGGUAACCGUAGGGGAACCUGCGGUUGGAUCACCUCCUUA